This 344-nucleotide unclassified non-coding RNA is filed under the name Caenorhabditis elegans. Its description in RNAcentral is "Non-coding transcript of protein-coding gene B0198.3b". The record is from RNAcentral. Lineage: Eukaryota; Metazoa; Nematoda; Chromadorea; Rhabditida; Rhabditidae.
AUGACGUCAUCAUCGAUCAGAAUCUGCAACCUCCAGAAGUUGCUCUCGGAAAGAAGUAUGAGGCGAAAGGAGAUAUUUGGCAGUUUGGAACCUGCCUUGCAGAGAUGUGCAGCUUAGGUGUGCCGUACCAGGCGCAGAAGCAAAUUCCUGCAUCUGGUCUCGAUGAGUUCGACAAGCUCCCUUCGACAUGUGUGCUCCAAGACGCUGCCAAAAAGUGUCUCAAUGCCAGAAAUCGUCCAUCUGCUUCUGAUCUGCGCGGCGUCUUUCAGACAGAUACUGCACGAAACAUCAAAGCAAUGGAUAUUGCAACAAUGGACCAGAUGAAACAGUCAUUGCUCAUUUAG